GGGGAUGUAAAUAACGCGGAGGGAAGUAGUAUAAGGAAAUUUAUAAUUUUUGGAUAUUAAUGUGAAAUUGGUUUCAAACAGAGUUAAAUAGUGAAGUAAUCCAUAUGACUGACACCAACUAGUUUGUGAUUAAGACUACUUGUCAUAAAUACUUUAGAACAAGAAGUUAUAUAUUACUUAUUGAAUAUGAUUCAGAUUCUUUUUAUGCUCCAAUGUGUUGUAGCCUUGGAAUAAGUGUUAAGUUUAAGGAAGAAAGGUAAAGACAAAAUAGGAUUAAUUAGGUGCUAGUAUGAGGCCUCAUAUCAAGCACUUUGCUUUAGGUUGCUGAUUUUGGUGGGCAUAUUUUCCUAAUACUGAUCUGGUUAAAAUAUAAGGGUUCACUUACGUUUUGA
RNAcentral lists this unclassified non-coding RNA (392 nucleotides) under Hevea brasiliensis (rubber tree). The record is from RNAcentral. Lineage: Eukaryota; Viridiplantae; Streptophyta; Magnoliopsida; Malpighiales; Euphorbiaceae.